CUGAAACAAAUAUGAAUACCAGAACUGUAGAUAUAGAGUGUCAUAGUUUAGGUUUCCUGAGAGCAGACCCCAAAACAAUGAUCCAAGUGCAAGUAAUUUAUUUGGCUGAUGAUUCCAGGAAAUACUGGGAAGGGAGUUAGGGAGACAGAAACCAGAAGAUAGAAACUAAAGGCCACUUCAUUGAACACAUCACAAUGCACCAUCGCUACUGGGUCCCCACACACCUAUCCUGUACUAGCAGAGUCCAUAAGAGCACUGCAAAAGAUGAUACAUUUCAGUACGAGUGGGGCUCUCUCUCCUAGACGCCAUCUCUAACCCUUCUGAUAAGUGUUCUUUAGGUGGUUCUCACUCCAGUGGAGCAAUUCAGCAG
This 370-nucleotide long non-coding RNA is filed under the name Homo sapiens (human). Its description in RNAcentral is "HSALNT0191860". The record is from RNAcentral. Lineage: Eukaryota; Metazoa; Chordata; Mammalia; Primates; Hominidae.